RNAcentral lists this long non-coding RNA (369 nucleotides) under Hordeum vulgare. Its description in RNAcentral is "long non-coding RNA (HVUL_LNC017735)". The record is from RNAcentral. Lineage: Eukaryota; Viridiplantae; Streptophyta; Magnoliopsida; Poales; Poaceae.
AAGGCCCAACCGAAAGCACAUGCACGCGCCUUCCGCCACCGCUCACGAGCAAACCGUGACAGCCAAGGGACCGGCGGCCACACCCACCCCCACCCGAGCCUCGGACGGUCGGACCGCACACAGCCACUGAAAACCGCUGCUGCAUUUCCGUCCGUCCGUCCGUCCGCCCGCGCCACUCCACACUCCCCUCCCCGUGCAGCGCAAGCGCAGACCCAGCUGCACUGCACAGCUCGUGCCACCGGCCCGGCUCAUCACCCAUCCCAUCACCACCCUCGGCCUCGCCGAGGCUGCCGCACCGCACCGCACCGCGGGCAAGCCCCCCCCCCGAUCCGCUUUCUCCGGCACCGUACUAAAACCCCGCGCCCCNNN